Molecule: ribosomal RNA, 815 nt
Filed under: uncultured archaeon
Lineage: Archaea
Description: bacterial SSU rRNA
Rfam family: Archaeal small subunit ribosomal RNA
Source: RNAcentral
UCGAUUAAGCCAUGCGAGUUAAAUGUUCUUCGUGAACAUAGCAGACUGCUCAGUAACACGUGGAUAACCUGCCCUUAGGACUGGCAUAACCCCGGGAAACUGGGGAUAAUUCCGGAUAGAUCAUAAAUGCUGGAAUGCUUUAUGAUUGAAAGGUUUCGACCGCCUUAGGAUGGAUCUGCGGCCUAUCAGGUUGUAGUGGGUGUAAUGUCCCUACUAGCCUACGACGGGUACGGGUUGUGGAAGCAAGAGCCCGGAGAUGGAUUCUGAGACAUGAAUCCAGGCCCUACGGGGCGCAGCAGGCGCGAAAACUUUACAAUGCGGGAAACCGUGAUAAGGGAACACUGAGUGCUAGCAUUUAUGUUAGCUGUCCACAUGUGUAAAUAGCAUGUGAUAGCAAGGGCUGGGCAAGACCGGUGCCAGCCGCCGCGGUAACACCAGCAGCCCGAGUGGUGAUCACUAUUAUUGGGUCUAAAGGGUCCGUAGCCGGUUUAAUCAGUCUUCUGGGAAAUCUAAUCGCUUAACUAUUAGGCUUCCAGGGGAUACUGUUAGACUUGGGACCGGGAGAGGUAAGAGGUACUGCAGGGGUAGGAGUGAAAUCUUGUAAUCCCUGUGAGACCACCAGUGGCGAAGGCGUCUUACCAGAACGGGUCCGACGGUGAGGGACGAAAGCUGGGGGCACGAACCGGAUUAGAUACCCGGGUAGUCCCAGCUGUAAACGAUGCUCGCUAGGUGUCAGGAACGGUGCGACUGUUUCUGGUGCCGAAGGGAAGCCGUGAAACGAGCCACCUGGGAAGUACGGCCGCAAGGCUGAAACU